CCUACGGGAGGCAGCAGUGGGGAAUAUUGCACAAUGGGGGAAACCCUGAUGCAGCGACGCCGCGUGAGUGAAGAAGUAUUUCGGUAUGUAAAGCUCUAUCAGCAGGGAAGAAGAAAGACGGUACCUGACUAAGAAGCCCCGGCUAACUACGUGCCAGCAGCCGCGGCAAUACGUAGGGGGCAAGCGUUAUCCGGAUUUACUGGGGGUAAAGGGAGCGUAGACGGCAGUGCAAGUCUGAAGUGAAAGCCCAGGGCUCAACCCUGGGACUGCUUUGGAAACUGUGGAGCUAGAGUGCGGGAGAGGUAAGUGGAAUUCCUGGUGUAGCGGUGAAAUGCGUAGAUAUUAGGAGGAACACCAGUGGCGAAGGCGGCCUGCUGGACAGUAACUGACGUUGAGGCUCGAAAGCGUGGGGAGCAAACAGGAUUAGAUACCCUAGUAGUC
RNAcentral lists this ribosomal RNA (441 nucleotides) under uncultured bacterium. RNAcentral describes it as "partial 16S ribosomal RNA". It matches the Rfam family "Bacterial small subunit ribosomal RNA", at positions 338 to 795 of the family's 1533-position model. The record is from RNAcentral.